ACCGGUAAACUGCGAAUGGCUCGGUAAAUCAGUUAUAGUUUAUUUGAUAGUGCAGCCUACUCGGAUAACCGUAGUAACACUAGAGCUAAUACGUGCGUAAAUCCCGACUUUUUGAAGGGACGUAUUUAUUAGAUUUAUGGCCAGCCGGGCUUGCCCGACCAGCGGUGAAUCAUGGUAACUUGACGGAUUGCAUGGCCUUUGUGCCGGCGACGUGUCAUUCAAGUUUCUGCCCCAUCAGGUUUCGACUGUAGUGUAUUGGACUACAGUGCCUAUAACGGGUAGCGGAGGAUUAGGGUUCGAUUCCGGAGAGGGAGCCUGAGAAACGGCUACCACAUCCAAGGAAGGCAGCAGGCGCGCAAAUUACCCAAUCCCAAUUCAGGGAGGUAGUGACAAGAAAUAGCAAUGCGGGGCUUACUGCUCUGCAAUUGGAAUGAGUACAAUUUAAAUCACUUAACGAGUAUCAAUUGGAGGGCAAGUCUGGUGCCAGCAGCCGCGGUAAUUCCAGCUCCAAUAGCGUAUAUGUAAGUUGUUGCGAUUAAAAAGCCCGUAGCUGAACCUCGGGCAGCCCUGAUGGUCCGCUUUUCGUGAGUACUGUCGUGGGCUGUCUUUCUGGCAAGACCGUAUUUCGGUGUUAACUCACCGGGAACGGCGCUUGCCAAGGUUACUUUGAGUAAAAUAAAGUGUUCAAAGCAAGCUCGCGCUAUGAAUACACUAGCAUGGGAUAACACGACAUGACCGAUGGUCUAUCUUGUUGGCCUGUAGAUCUGUUGGUAAUGGCUAAUAGGGACGGUCGGGGGCAUUCGUAUUUCGCUGUCAGAGGUGAAAUUCUUGGAUUUUCGAAAGACGAACUACUGCGAAAGCAUUUGCCAAGGACGCUUUCAUUAGUCAAGGACGAAAGUCGGGGGAUCGAAGACGAUUAGAUACCGUCGUAGUCUCGACCAUAAACGAUGCCAAUUAGGGAUUGGAGGGSGGAUUUCUUAUGCCUCCUCCAGCACCUUCCGCGAAAGCAAAAUUCGGAUUGGAAGCCUUUCCGUAAGGGAG
Molecule: ribosomal RNA, 1041 nt
Filed under: Cladophora kursanovii
Lineage: Eukaryota; Viridiplantae; Chlorophyta; Ulvophyceae; Cladophorales; Cladophoraceae
Description: SSU rRNA
Rfam family: Eukaryotic small subunit ribosomal RNA
Source: RNAcentral